This is a long non-coding RNA of Ornithodoros turicata, 289 nucleotides long. RefSeq lists it as uncharacterized. Lineage: Eukaryota; Metazoa; Arthropoda; Arachnida; Ixodida; Argasidae. The transcript has 4 exons. The record is from RefSeq and is a predicted model, not a curated record.
CUAAGAUGCACGACUGGCUAUGAGAACCCCAUCGGCAUUAUUUGAAGAGAAGACCAAUGUUUUUCGAGUCAACGUCACAAACUGGUAUUUACAGGAGCUGACUCUCUACAGUCAGGGCGUCCCAAACUCUGGUAUCUCGCAGCCCAUCAAACGUAUGAGCAGGCUCUGAAGACAAUCAUCAUGAAGACGGCCAUCAUUAUUCUGUUCGUUCUGGUCGCUUGUUGCGCCGUUUCCGAAGUAGAAGCGUUUCGGCCAGUCAGGGCUGCUCCCCAAGGCUUCGCUCCUUUGU